Molecule: ribosomal RNA, 235 nt
Filed under: Mycobacterium tuberculosis
Lineage: Bacteria; Bacillati; Actinomycetota; Actinomycetes; Mycobacteriales; Mycobacteriaceae
Description: partial 16S ribosomal RNA
Rfam family: Bacterial small subunit ribosomal RNA
Source: RNAcentral
UGUGGUAGAGGGUAGCGGAAUUCCUGGUGUAGCAGUGAAAUGCGUAGAGAUCAGGAGGAACAUCCAUGGCGAAGGCAGCUACCUGGACCAACACUGACACUGAGGCACGAAAGCGUGGGGAGCAAACAGGAUUAGAUACCCUGGUAGUCCACGCCCUAAACGAUGCGAACUGGAUGUUGGGUGCAAUUUGGCACGCAGUAUCGAAGCUAACGCGUUAAGUUCGCCGCCUGGGGAG